GAUGAACGCUGGCGGCGUGCCUAAUACAUGCAAGUCGAGCGAACGGACGAGAAGCUUGCUUCUCUGAUGUUAGCGGCGGACGGGUGAGUAACACGUGGAUAACCUACCUAUAAGACUGGGAUAACUUCGGGAAACCGGAGCUAAUACCGGAUAAUAUUUUGAACCGCAUGGUUCAAAAGUGAAAGACGGUCUUGCUGUCACUUAUAGCUGGAUCCGCGCUGCAUUAGCUAGUUGGUAAGGUAACGGCUUACCAAGGCAACGAUGCAUGGCCGACCUGAGAGGGUGAUCGGCCACACUGGAGCUGAGACACGGUCCAGAGUCCUACGGGAGGCAGCAGUAGGGAAUCGUCCGCAAUGGGCGGAAGCCUGACGGAGCAGCGCCGCGUGAGUGAUGGAGGUCUUCGGAUCGUAAAACUCUGUUAUUAGGGAAGAACAUCUGUGUAAGUAGCUGUGCACAUCUUGACGGUACCUGGUCAGAAAGCCACGGCUAACUACGUG
This 497-nucleotide ribosomal RNA is filed under the name uncultured bacterium. RNAcentral's name for it is "partial 16S ribosomal RNA". It matches the Rfam family "Bacterial small subunit ribosomal RNA", at positions 28 to 507 of the family's 1533-position model. The record is from RNAcentral.